RNAcentral lists this ribosomal RNA (492 nucleotides) under uncultured bacterium. Its description in RNAcentral is "partial 16S ribosomal RNA". It matches the Rfam family "Bacterial small subunit ribosomal RNA", at positions 29 to 507 of the family's 1533-position model. The record is from RNAcentral.
AGUGAACGCUGGCGGUAGGCCUAACACAUGCAAGUCGAACGGCAGCACAGUAAGAGCUUGCUCUGACGGGGGGGGGGUGGCGGAAGUGUGAGGUAAACAACCUACCCUACUUUUUCGGGGGGGAUAAUGUAGGGAAACUUACGCUAAUACCGGAUACGCCCUACGCGUGAAAGCAGGGGAAAUUCGGAACUUGCGCGAUUGAAGGAGCCGAUGUCGAUUUAGCUGGUUGUGGGGGUAAAGGCCAACCAAGCCGACGAUCGGUAGCUGGUCUGGGCGGAGGGUCAGCCACACUAGAACUGGGACACGGUCCAGCCUCCUCCGCGACGCAGCAGUGGGGUAUGUUGUACAAUGGGCGCAAGCCUGCUCCAGCCGUACCACGUCGGUUAAGAAGGCCCUGGGUUUGUGAAGUCCUUUUGUUUGGGAAGAAAAGCAGCAGGUUAAUACCCUGCUGUUCUGACGGUACCCAAAGAAUAAGCACCGGCUAACUUCGUG